UGGGGAAUUUUGGACAAUGGGGGCAACCCUGAUCCAGCAAUGCCGCGUGUGUGAAGAAGGCCUUCGGGUUGUAAAGCACUUUUAUCAGGAGCGAAACGCUGUCGGCUAAUACCCGGCGGAACUGACGGUACCUGAGGAAUAAGCACCGGCUAACUUCGUGCCAGCAGCCGCGGUAAUACGAAGGGUGCAAGCGUUAAUCGGAAUUACUGGGCGUAAAGCGUGCGUAGGCGGUUUCUUAAGUCUGCUGUGAAAUCCCCGGGCUCAACCUGGGAAUGGCAGUGGAUACUGGGAGGCUAGAGUGUGUCAGAGGGUGGUGGAAUUCCCGGUGUAGCGGUGAAAUGCGUAGAGAUCGGGAGGAACAUCAGUGGCGAAGGCGGCCACCUGGGACAACACUGACGCUGAGGCACGAAAGCGUGGGGAGCAAACAGGAUUAGAUACCCUGGUAGUCCACGCCCUAAACGAUGCGAACUGGAUGUUGGUCUCAACUCGGAGAUCAGUGUCGAAGCUAACGCGUUAAGUUCGCCGCCUGGGGAGUACGGUCGCAAGACUGAAACUCAAAGGAAUUGAC
Molecule: ribosomal RNA, 568 nt
Filed under: uncultured bacterium
Lineage: Bacteria
Description: partial 16S ribosomal RNA
Rfam family: Bacterial small subunit ribosomal RNA
Source: RNAcentral